This 492-nucleotide ribosomal RNA is filed under the name uncultured bacterium. Its description in RNAcentral is "partial 16S ribosomal RNA". It matches the Rfam family "Bacterial small subunit ribosomal RNA", at positions 29 to 507 of the family's 1533-position model. The record is from RNAcentral.
AGUGAACGCUGGCGGUAGGCCUAACACAUGCAAGUCGAACGGCAGCACAGUAAGAGCUUGCUCUUACGGGUGGCGAGUGGCGGACGGGUGAGGAAUACAGCGGAAUCUACUUUUUCGUGGGGGAUAACGUAGGGAAACUUACGCUAAUACCGCAUACGACCUACGGGUGAAAGCAGGGGAUCUUCGGACCUUGCGCGAUUGAAUGAGCCGAUGUCGGAUUAGCUAGUUGGCGGGGUAAAGGCCCACCACGGCGACGAUCCGUAGGUGGUCUGAGAGGAUGAUCAGCCACACUGGAACGUAGACACGGACCAGACUCCUACGGGAGGCAGCAGUGGGGAAUAUUGGACAAUGGGCGCAAGCCUGAUCCAGCCAUACCGCGUGGGUCAAGAAGGCCUUCGGGUUGUAAAGCCCUUUUGUUGGGAAAGAAAAGCAGCAGGUUAACACCCCGCUGUUCUGACGGUACCCAAAGAAUAAGCACCGGCUAACUUCGUG